RNAcentral lists this unclassified non-coding RNA (335 nucleotides) under soil metagenome. RNAcentral describes it as "partial contains 5.8S ribosomal RNA, internal transcribed spacer 2, and large subunit ribosomal RNA". The stretch from base 1 to 120 matches the Rfam family "5.8S ribosomal RNA", at positions 35 to 154 of the family's 154-position model. The record is from RNAcentral.
GAUGAAGAACGUAGCGAAAUGCGAUAAGUAAUGUGAAUUGCAGAAUUCAGUGAAUCAUCGAAUCUUUGAACGCACAUUGCGCCCGCCAGUAUUCUGGCGGGCAUGCCUGUUCGAGCGUCAUUUCAACCAUCAAGCCCCCGGCUUGUGUUGGGGACCUGCGGCUGCCGCAGGCCCUGAAAACCAGUGGCGGGCUCGCUAGUCACUCCGAGCGUAGUAAUACAUCUCGCUCAGGGCGUGCUGCGGGUUCCGGCCGUUAAAAAGCCUUAUUUACCCAAGGUUGACCUCGGAUCAGGUAGGAAGACCCGCGGAACUUAAGCAUAUCAAUAAGCGGAGGA